GGUUCGAUGGUGUAGUUGGUUAUCACGUCAGUCUAACAACGUUAGUCCACUGAAGGUCUCCAGUUCAAGUCUGGGUCGAAUCA
This 83-nucleotide transfer RNA is filed under the name Ascochyta lentis. RNAcentral describes it as "tRNA-Val". RNAcentral also lists the same sequence under 2 other names. The record is from RNAcentral. Lineage: Eukaryota; Fungi; Ascomycota; Dothideomycetes; Pleosporales; Didymellaceae.